Manis pentadactyla (Chinese pangolin) is the source of this 733-nucleotide long non-coding RNA. RefSeq lists it as uncharacterized. NCBI's taxonomy places the organism in Eukaryota, Metazoa, Chordata, Mammalia, Pholidota, Manidae. The transcript has 3 exons. The record is from RefSeq and is a predicted model, not a curated record.
UGGGAAUGCAGUAAUGUGGAAUGUGACCUCUUCGGAGGAAAGUACUUAGUCAAACAUUGGUCAAAAAAGGCAAUAAUUAUAAACAAGGACUACCUCUGAGAACAAUAGCCACAGCCACAAAUUAAAGAUCUCUCUUCAAAGGGCUUCAUUUUAAGCUUCAGAUUCCAAAAUGAUCGCCCUGAUCAGUAGAACCUUUCAAUGUAAGAACAGCCAGAAAUGAACAAGUCCUCUUAAUGAUGUUAUAAGGGAAAGCUGAUGCUUUAUACAACUUGGAAAAAAUGCAUGUACCUUGUGUUUAUGGCCAGGGGCACAGGUCAAAAAUGCAAAUCAUGUCCUCUGUGAACUGAAAUAAUCAAGCUUAAAGACAAUGGUGAGAUUUGAGUCUAUGUAUGUGUUAUCAAAGGAUAUAUGGAAUCUGCCUUCUCUACUUCCAUUCCAGCAUAUCGUCUCUGAAUAAGAAAUAAAUUGGUGGAAGCUAUUACCCCAAGUGGCUUCCAGAUGUUAACUAUAUGACUGAACAGAACUAUUCUCUUAUGAGAAGGGUAAGAGAGGAAAAUUAUUAGUAUAUGUGGUGAUUUUAAUAACCAUGAAACAUAUUUUUUUGCCUAUCAACUCCACCUGCACAAUGUAAAAAACUUACAUAAAUAGGAUACCUUUUUGUGGGGAAGAGGAAGAUUUAAAUCUAUAUAGCAUAUGUGAAUCUACUCUUUUUUUUUCUUUUAAAGAAAUAACC